Molecule: ribosomal RNA, 389 nt
Filed under: uncultured bacterium
Lineage: Bacteria
Description: bacterial SSU rRNA
Rfam family: Bacterial small subunit ribosomal RNA
Source: RNAcentral
AUUGAACGCUGGCGGCAUGCCUUACACAUGCAAGUCGAACGGCAGCGGACCUUCGGGUGCCGGCGAGUGGCGAACGGGUGAGUAAUGCAUCGGAACGUGCCAUUGAGUGGGGGAUAACGUAGCGAAAGUUGCGCUAAUACCGCAUAUUCUGUGAGCAGGAAAGCAGGGGACCGCAAGGCCUUGCGCUCUUUGAGCGGCCGAUGUCAGAUUAGCUAGUUGGUGAGGUAACGGCUUACCAAGGCGACGAUCUGUAGCGGGUCUGAGAGGAUGAUCCGCCACACUGGAACUGAGACACGGUCCAGACUCCUACGGGAGGCAGCAGUGGGGAAUUUUGGACAAUGGGGCAACCCUGAUCCAGCCAUGCCGCGUGAGUGAAGAAGGCCUUCGGG